GGGGCAAAUGCUCUAGGUACGCCUCUGGUAAUGGUAUACUGCCAUAUGUGUGAAAUCAAGAGCGUACUUACUCUUUAUCAGCAACACAUACAAACAUUACAGUGUUCGCUUAGGGAUUGUCCUUCUCACAGACCUGUUUGUAUGUUGCAUAAAUGGCAUCUUUGGUAUUGCUUGUCUUUCAGUUUUUAAUUGCAAUUCCUGCAGUUUGGUGGUUUCCAAGGCCUUACCAACAUGAAAUAGAUUGAGUACUCUGACGAAGUUGGCGCAGAGUGAAUAAAUGCAUUGAAUUAUAUUGCUUGUACUUUUGUAUUUUAUAUUUUUUUUGUUUGACUAUGGGCUCAUGGAACUACUAUACACAAUUGUGG
Non-coding RNA from Pelobates cultripes (western spadefoot toad), 365 nucleotides. The record is from the annotation of a GenBank genome assembly. Lineage: Eukaryota; Metazoa; Chordata; Amphibia; Anura; Pelobatidae.